GUGGUGGUUGUUCAGUGGUAGGAUUCACGCCUUCUAUGCAGGAGACUUGGGUUCAAUUCCCGGCCAAUACA
RNAcentral lists this transfer RNA (71 nucleotides) under Loxodonta africana (African savanna elephant). It matches the Rfam family "tRNA". From Rfam's summary of the family: Transfer RNA (tRNA) molecules are approximately 80 nucleotides in length. Their secondary structure includes four short double-helical elements and three loops (D, anti-codon, and T loops). Lineage: Eukaryota; Metazoa; Chordata; Mammalia; Proboscidea; Elephantidae. The record is from Rfam by way of RNAcentral.